Molecule: small RNA, 285 nt
Filed under: Nomascus leucogenys (northern white-cheeked gibbon)
Lineage: Eukaryota; Metazoa; Chordata; Mammalia; Primates; Hylobatidae
Description: Metazoan signal recognition particle RNA (ENSNLEG00000035743.1)
Source: RNAcentral
GCCGGGUGUGGUGGCUCACACCUGUAAUCCCUGCACUUUGGGAGGCCGAGGCGGGUGGAUCACUUGAGGCCAGGAGUUUGAGACCAGCCCGGGCAACAUGGUGAAACCUCAUCUCUACUAAAAAUGUCAAAAAAUUAGCCGGGCAUGGUGGCAUGUGCCUGUAAUUUCAGCUACUUGGGAGGCUGAGGCAGGAGAAUAGCUUGAACCCAGGAGGCAGAGUUUGCAGUGAGCUGAGAUCACGUCAUUGCACUCCAGCCCUGGGCAACAGAGUGAGACUCCAUCUCA